Molecule: non-coding RNA, 564 nt
Filed under: Trichobilharzia regenti
Lineage: Eukaryota; Metazoa; Platyhelminthes; Trematoda; Strigeidida; Schistosomatidae
Description: Eukaryotic small subunit ribosomal RNA
Rfam family: Eukaryotic small subunit ribosomal RNA
Source: Rfam by way of RNAcentral
GCUACAUUUAAUAAGCUAGUAGAUAAACGUGGGUUGCACGGUAGCGUGCUAUUGGUUGUUUGCUUUUUUGGUUACAUUCAGAACAUACGUUCAACUCUGUCUAGUGGCUGUUCCAUCUCUCAGCUGUAUCUGUAAAGACGCGUUGACGGACAUGGGUGAGCUUGUCAUGCCGGCUAUCUUUUUGCAUGCUUCUAGAUGCCCUUAGCCAAGAGUCAGGAGUAAACGGCAUGCUAACUUUGAACAAAUUCGAGUGCUCAAGACAGGCCUUUGUGCCUAUAAAUUAUUGCAUAGAAUAAUGAAGUAGGACAUCAGUUGUAUUUUGUCGGUUUUUGGAUCCGAAGUAAUGUUUAGAGGGGAUGAAAUUCUAGGAUUAUCGCCGGGCAAACUACUACAGAGAUAUUUGCCAAGAAUGCUUUCGUUGGUCAGGGGCGAAAGUUAGAGUCUUGGUGACGACCAGAUGCCGUCGUAAUUCUGACCAUAAACUAUGCUUACUGACGAUCCACGGAGGUUCUGUAAUUAACGUUGCAGGUGGUUCCCAAGAAAUCUGUAGCUCCUUGAACUCCG